AGCGAACGCUGGCGGCAGGCUUAACACAUGCAAGUCGAGCGGGCGUAGCAAUACGUCAGCGGCAGACGGGUGAGUAACGCGUGGGAACAUACCUUUUGGUUCGGAACAACACAGGGAAACUUGUGCUAAUACCGGAUAAGCCCUUACGGGGAAAGAUUUAUCGCCGAAAGAUUGGCCCGCGUCUGAUUAGCUAGUUGGUGAGGUAACGGCUCACCAAGGCGACGAUCAGUAGCNGGUCUGAGAGGAUGAUCAGCCACAUUGGGACUGAGACACGGCCCAAACUCCUACGGGAGGCAGCAGUGGGGAAUAUUGGACAAUGGGGGCAACCCUGAUCCAGCAAUGCCGCGUGUGUGAAGAAGGCC
This 362-nucleotide ribosomal RNA is filed under the name uncultured bacterium. Its description in RNAcentral is "bacterial SSU rRNA". It matches the Rfam family "Bacterial small subunit ribosomal RNA", at positions 29 to 416 of the family's 1533-position model. The record is from RNAcentral.